UGCCAGCAGCCGCGGUAAUACGGAGGGGGCAAGCGUUGUUCGGAUUUACUGGGCGUAAAGGGUGUGUAGGCGGUUGCGCAAGUCUGGUGUGAAAUCUUCACCGCUUAACGGGAAGAGGUCACUGGAAACUGCGUAACUCGAGUAUGGUAGGGGCAAGCGGAAUUCCUGGUGUAGCGGUGGAAUGUGUAGAUAUCAGGAAGAACACCUGUAGCGAAGGCGGCUUGCUGGGCCAUCACUGACGCUGAGACACGAAAGCGUGGGGAGCAAACGGGAUUAGAUACCCCGGUAGUCCACGCUGUAAACUGUGCGCACUAGGUGUGAGGGGUAUCGACCCCCCUUGUGCCGAAGUUAACACAUUAAGUGCGCCGCCUGGGGAGUACGGCCGCAAGGUUGAAACUCAAAGGAAUUGACGGGGGCCCGCACA
This 424-nucleotide ribosomal RNA is filed under the name uncultured bacterium. RNAcentral's name for it is "bacterial SSU rRNA". It matches the Rfam family "Bacterial small subunit ribosomal RNA", at positions 506 to 927 of the family's 1533-position model. The record is from RNAcentral.